GGAAGCCCACGUUACACGAUACGCUGUUGGAUGCAGAAGUCCUCCCAGCCAAGACUUCACCACAGACCCAAAACCAACCGGCCAUUUUGCCAUAUUGUCUGUGGAUACAACUAACAACAAAUUUUCAUCUAAAAUAGGAGACCGGCUUCAAAGGUUUAAACCGCUCUCUAAAUUCCUGGGACCAACCCAUCCUACUACCCUGAAUCUGCCCUUGGAGGCUCAUCACAUACAAGAGAAGACACUUCCCUUCUUGCCUUUCAUCUGAAAACUCAGGGAGGGCUCCAGAAAUUCCCCUUUCCCCCCUUCUUUCUGCCUGGCCUCAGGAGCAGAGCUCUGAGCGGGAAGGUUUUGACAGCAAACGUAGCUUUACUGGUAACGUUCUUAGCAACCGCUGGCUGCUAAAUGCUUUCUAGAUAUUCAGGUGGGUGAUACGAAACAGCGAGAACAAAAAGAUCUAUGGCAAAGAGGAAUGGCAGAGCUGCAUUUCUGUAUUUUUAAGACCCCAGUAGGGAGCCAGCCUAUCAGGUGAGCUUGGGAAGCACCUUACAGUACACAGGGGCUACAUGAAGAAGGCAUCAAGAGCGGUUGGCGAGACACUGAUAAAUGGGAAAAUAAGGCUGAGGAUACUGAUGGAUAACAUGCAACAUCGCCAGAGAUGAAUGGAGGGAGAGCUACGGAAGUGGGGAUGGAAAACGUGUAUUUGAUGUGAGAGUGGAAGCGUGGGUACACUGGAGGACAAGGGAGAUGGCUCUACUGACUGUGUUUUGGAUGUGUACUCCUGGAAAGUGUGACGGAGGUGACAGCAUACUAGUCAGGGCAGAAGGCGGUGAGGGCCUAAAUGAGAAUUUAGCUGAGGGGAUGGAAAGAAAAGGAGGGAUGUUGACCCUGGAAAGAGGCCUGAAGCAGCAGGAUUUGAAUGCAGAAUGUAGGGCAAAGAUUUGGCAGAAAUUGAGGUCUUCUCAUGACAGAGAAGCUAUUGUUUGUUAGCAGUGAUGAAGAGGGGAAGAGGGGAAGGUUUGGGAAUGAGGAUGAGGGAAAGCAAAGUUCUGGAAAGCAAGUUUUUGCAUGAAACAAUGGGAAUAGAAGCUUCCAGUAGUAAUAGGUGAUAAUAUUAACAGGGAAUGUGAAAUUCCCAGGAUGUGAGGUCUCUAGGGACAGGUUUCUACGAGCACUGAGGUGUCUGAACAUACGGAGAGGUGCCUAAAUACGGUAUUCAGAAGUGUCUCUGCUCAGAUUUUUAAAGCUAUUCAGGUGAUUCUCUGCUCGGUACCAAGCACAUACACUCCAGUGCCAGCUCAACAGCUACUCCGUUUCCCUAUGAAGACACAGUCUGAAUGCAUGGGCUGCAGGACCAAAUGUCUCCUACAGUCAUUCAACGUUUAAUGCUCAAUUUAAGUGCCUAAACAUAAGCCCGUAACGCCACUGUAGCUGCACCAGAUAAUCCUGCUUGGCCUCCAACUGCUGCAAAUAGGCAUGGGUUUUCUGCGUGUCUAUGUCCAAUCUUUCAGCCCCGUGUUGGUAUGCUGGUACAUUAGCAGGUCUCACAUGGCACGACCUGCUGGUAUGAGGACAACUGAAAUGAGCCCCUACUCGAUACAGUCAACAGAGUCUAGAGACUACUUUAAAAUAAAUACCUGCACGGUGACACCAGUGGUGUCCCAGCCAGUGGGUGAACCUCAUCCCUAAGGUUAGGGGAGAUGAGUCCUACUGUCACAGUUCGGUUGCCCGCACACAGCUGUCUAGUGUCAUUUCAGAUGUCUGCUUGGCCUCCAGAUGCUGCUCCAGAGGGCAUGGGGCUCCCAUAGGUCCUUUGUCAGGUAUACCAGCCGCACAAGGCUGUCUUGAAACCAUGGGCCACCUGAAAUGACAACGGACGCCUGUGCACGGCAACUAAACCAAGCCUUCAGCCUACUGAAGGCAAUUGGGAGGGAUGACCCUGGGCAAACCCAGCAGGGUUCGCAACUGCCUGCUGCAAGUGAGACUCCCGACUACCACUCCUGAUGAUCCCACCCAACAGCAUAAGUUUUCUAAUCUCAACAGUCUGACCCUGAUCACACAAUGGCAAUUGACAACAGAUGUCCAGGCUCACAACGUGCUCCAGCCUGCCAGAGGAGGAAUAAAUGAAUAGCAGAAAUUACCAGCAUCAAGGAAAUCUUCCUUCUCAGAAAGGCUGAAGGCAGUACUCAGCCCUCACGACUUUCUGUUCCUCCUUUCCUCAACAGAAACCAGCACGAUCGCUCUCCAUUUGAACGGUGGACAUGUCAAAGACACGGAGGAACAACCCACGCCUGUGUGUAGACAGACAAACAGCUCUGAAAUAUAGGCCUUUUUUGUUUCGACACGCUCAAGAGUGGUGCUGCUCCAAGUGCCCAGCCCCAAAGCCUUGGGGACCGUCCAGCAGCUCACAGCUUUGCAAACUGUUUUCUGGCUUCUUGCCUCUGCUAUGCACCCAGGGCUGUCUUCUCUUCUCUUCUUUGGUCAAUGAACCCUUUCCUCAAGAUGGUCACUGAUUUCUUCAUGCUGGAAUAGGAAACGGGACAGAGAUACAAGCUGCCAGAAGAUGAAACGUGAGAGACUUUAUGCCGUUCACCAAUGAUGCAUUUCAGAACCACCUCAGUAGCUGCAGAAGAUGCAUGGCGCUCAUGGUCCGAUCUUCAAUGUUCAAUGAAGACAAGACAGCACUGAUCACAACAAACAAUCCUCUUCCUGACUUGAAGUCUAACCCCACAGCGUUUUUCACCAAGGAGCAAUUCGGAACGGUAAAAUAUGUCACAGUUCAACAACACGCAAGUAAUGAGCUUCAUGUCUAGGCUAUUAAGAAGGUCUGUUUAGGACUGGAGAGAUCCCAGAGGCACCGCUCUGAGGAAGGCAGUAACGUUGAGCGAGCUGGGAGGGAGACACUGAACAUUGGCUCAAUGAUUGCGUGGCUUUGGGGCGAUGCAGAUCGUGUCAAUGAUCGGAUGGAAAUCAAACCUUACCCACUGGGUCCACGUCCCGCUGAUCAAUGAGCCAAUCCCUUAGCUCCGCUACCCAAGGGAGUCACCUAGUGCGUGCGGCCACGGCUGGAAAGAGGACCUGCCUUUCGGGGGCGCUCCUCACUUACACUGUACUAAACAUAACAAAAAACCAUACCCAAGGACUGCGGGUUUGGUCCUGGCUCUCUGCAGGGUUGAAGUCUGACAGACUUCAGUGACGCUGCCCCAUCUUUGUUCUUUGCCCUCACUCCUGUGCCAUCACCAUGGCUGGGCAGCUCAGCUGCCCGUUCCUGGCCAUAUGCAGAUAAAAACACAUCCAGGUUAAAAAGAACCAACAAAACUGGUCCUGCUGCUUAAGGAGUUACAGUCAAAGCAGAGCCUAAAGCCUCCAUCUCCUGCAGGAUUUAGAUGCCUAACUUUUAGCUAGAGGAAGUUUGGUGAGAUGAGUCCCGUGCUCACUGCUGAGGAAUUACACCGACUUUAGUUUAUCUUCAAAGCUGAGCUUCAGUCUCUGUGCCAGCAAAGAGAAACUACAAUUCUCAAAAAGCAAACCAGAACACAACUAAGCGCAACUCAAAGAGUAUUAUUUACUUAUAUGCCUCAGCUGGCUUCACAUGGUGGUUUUGGAGAACAUACUUGUUUGCAUUAGAUUGUAUACGUGACUUCUGUACAGCUUCGCACGUUUGGCCUCCAUUGCUUCCCUUCCUUCAGCAGUUACUGAGGUUGCUUUUACUUCUCACCCUGCUCAUCCAAAUUCCCUCAUUCCUGGUACAAAACCUCUUUAUGUUACCCUGAACAAGUGCCAGGAACUUCUCACUUGGGUUAAGGUGGACGUUUUAAACCCCACGCAGUAAUAACUCAUAUCUACUUUGGUCUAAUUUUCUGUUCUCUUGCAGAGGACCUCUCCCAGGAGUCAGAUUCACUUUCCCUUGCAGAAGACACAACAGAAAGGGCCAACAGAGCCAAAGGCGACUUUUCCUGCAGAAACGGCUGGGAAACGUCUUCCGUUCAGGUUCUCCAAAGACAGCGAUUUUGAAGCAGAAGGACGGUUCUCGAAAAGCUAUGCUGAGAAGCAAAUGAAAAGGCAAUAUCCACAGCUUCGCUACCAAGCCCCCCCUAAGCCAGGUGCAAAGUCACCGUUCCCUGAGAAGGGGAGGGAGGGAUGGGUUGAGCCCAGCCAGCACCCCGCCUUCACCUACCGCAAAGCUGUGAUCAGUCGAGUUGGUAAAGGUGGUGAGUGAAGACACCUCUCAGGCACCCAAAGGAAAGCUGUGGCCAUCCUAGACCAACGCAGCAUUUCAGCUUGCACACAUCCAGCACAGGGAGCCAUACGGAUCGUCCCUUAUGUCACUGGUCGGCAUCGAAGACCUCUGUGUAAUAGCUAAAGCUUUGUGCAUGCGAAAACUACCUCAGCUUGACGAGUCUAUUUUUAACUUGAUUAAGUUAAAAGUUUUAUGGACAGGCGGGCCAGCGGUUUCUAGCUGAUGAGGCAUGAGAACAGUAAAGGUCAGGUAAGGCACGGCGUGCUUCGAAUGCCUCAUCAGGACAGGCUCUGCUCGCUGCCUUUUCGUUCUCCUUUUCUUCCAUCCUCUGUUUUCUUCAGAGUCGCUGCCACCUCUCCACCCGCUCCCCUAAUUCACCUCGAACUAAUUUAGCAUCCAGACCCUUCCUAUAGCACUUGUGGGAGACCCCCCAUCCUCAUUUUCAGCAGAGCCCUUCCCUUUCCGUUCCUCCCCUCCGUAAAUGCCAAGCCCCCUGCUCGGUACUGCUUGAUCUCCAGUCUCAAGGGCGGACCCGUUGCCUCAGUUCUUCUGAGAAGAGCUGGGCUUCUCCUCUUAAUGCUACGAGCAGCAGCUGGACUGCUGGCCAAGGGCGAGGGCUUCGAAGGUAACCAAGAGCAGGGAGCGCGCUGCUGAAAAUGAGGGUGUGUAGGAGCGCGGAGCGAAGGGAUCCGGCGGCUCCGUAUACGCGAGCGCAGCAAGUCAGCAGGGCUGUCUUCGGCGGGACGAAAGCCUGAAGAAAAGCUCACUGGCGAGCUCCUCCUAAAGGGGGGCACCUCCUUGCCUCCCGCUCGGACGAAAGAGAAGCUUCUCACCGAGCAGGCGUUAGGGAUCGCCCUUUCGUCUCGGCAGGGGAAGAACCACCGCACCAUCCAGUCGAGGUGAAAUCCAGUCGGCAUGAAAUCCGAGCGAGAGUCGAGCGGGGUCUUUUAUUUUGUUUAAGUCAAGAUCUCUGUUUUCACCUGGUUUCUGCAGCAGGAGGUGCCGGUUCCUCACGAGCCCCGUGAGAAAGGCGCUCAGACGCCUUGAAAACGCCGUUUACCGGAGCUGGCACAAGAAGGAAAAAGAGGAUUAGCGCAGAUGACAUUACGCUCUACCCUCACCCCCUCCCAAAAAAAGAGGUGCAGCGGAGGGGCCCCCAGGCCGGGCGCGACGCCCGCCCUUGGCACGGGGCUGAGGGACCCCUCCAAUGCUUCGUUGCA
Molecule: non-coding RNA, 5457 nt
Organism: Struthio camelus australis
Lineage: Eukaryota; Metazoa; Chordata; Aves; Struthioniformes; Struthionidae
Source: RefSeq, a predicted model, not a curated record